This is a long non-coding RNA of Lolium rigidum, 639 nucleotides long. RefSeq lists it as uncharacterized. NCBI's taxonomy places the organism in Eukaryota, Viridiplantae, Streptophyta, Magnoliopsida, Poales, Poaceae. The record is from RefSeq and is a predicted model, not a curated record. The transcript has 2 exons.
UCCUCCGCCGCUGAAGUUCCCGACGCCCUGCGUUAGGCCGUGGACGCGCAUGAUCUGAAGUGACCGGGUGCAGGAGGCAUCCACGUCGUCCACAAGGUCUCCCCCAAGCACCACCGCUGCUACCUCCACACCUCCAUCGUUCAGGACCUCGUCACAUCCAAAGCUAACAGGUGAGACAUGUACCCAACAGCAGGAGGGGCAGUAGCGGUAGUCGUCACGCGCAGGAUGUCGUUGCGGUGUCCCGUUAGACAUGCUCGCUGACGCCUCUGGCGAUGGUGCCGCGAACAGCAGCGGAGGAAGUGAAGCGAAGUGUGUUGGGCGGUGACCCCGACAGAGAAGAAGAAAACGUGUACGACUUGUUUUUUUUCUUUUGGCAGAGGAAGUUGCUAUGGUUGGAUACUGUUUUUGUGGUGACCCGAUCGAUGAUGUGUAUGCAUGUGUGCUGAUAAGGUAGUAGUACUAUUACGUCUGUUUGUAAAAGGAUGUUAAAAAUUUAUCUGAAUUUGGAUGUGUCUAUACAUUCUGUAGUAGUGUAUAGAUACAUCCGAAUUUGGGUAAAUCUUGGACAUCUCUUUUAUGGACGGGAGUAGUAGUAUAUGUGACUCUUGUGGUGAAAGACUGAUUAUUGUGUGGUGUGAA